CCUACGGGAGGCUGCAGUGGGGAAUAUUGCACAAUGGGGGAAACCCUGAUGCAGCAACGCCGCGUGGGUGAAGGAGCGUUUCUGCGCGUAAAGCCCUGUCAGCGGGGAAGAAGAAAGACGGUACCCGACCAAGAAGCCCCGGCUAACUACGUGCCAGCAGCCGCGGUAAUACGUAGGGGGCGAGCGUUAUCCGGAAGUACGGGGUGUAACGGGAGCGUAGGCGGGGAGGUAAGCCUGAAGUGGAAGCCCGCGGCCCAACCGCGGAACUGCCUUUGGAACUGGUUUGCUGGAGUAUGGGAGGGGGAAGCGGAAUGCCUGGUGUAGCGGUGAAAUGCGUAGAUAUCAGGAGGAACACCGGUGGCGAAGGCGGCUUACUGGACCAUAACUGACGUUGAGGCUCGAAAGCGUGGGGAGCGAACAGGAUUAGAUACCCUUGUAGUC
This 441-nucleotide ribosomal RNA is filed under the name uncultured bacterium. Its description in RNAcentral is "partial 16S ribosomal RNA". It matches the Rfam family "Bacterial small subunit ribosomal RNA", at positions 338 to 795 of the family's 1533-position model. The record is from RNAcentral.